UGAUCUAGCUUGCUAGAUUGAUGGCGAGUGGCGAACGGGUGAGUAAUACAUCGGAACGUGCCCUGUAGUGGGGGAUAACUAGUCGAAAGAUUAGCUAAUACCGCAUACGACCUGAGGGUGAAAGUGGGGGACCGCAAGGCCUCAUGCUAUAGGAGCGGCCGAUGUCUGAUUAGCUAGUUGGUGGGGUAAAGGCCCACCAAGGCGACGAUCAGUAGCUGGUCUGAGAGGACGAUCAGCCACACUGGGACUGAGACACGGCCCAGACUCCUACGGGAGGCAGCAGUGGGGAAUUUUGGACAAUGGGCGAAAGCCUGAUCCAGCAAUGCCGCGUGUGUGAAGAAGGCCUUCGGGUUGUAAAGCACUUUUGUCCGGAAAGAAAUGGCUCUGGUUAAUACCUGGGGUCGAUGACGGUACCGGAAGAAUAAGGACCGGCUAACUACGUGCCAGCAGCCGCGGUAAUACGUAGGGUCCAAGCGUUAAUCGGAAUUACUGGGCGUAAAGCGUGCGCAGGCGGUUGUGCAAGACCGAUGUGAAAUCCCCGAGCUUAACUUGGGAAUUGCAUUGGUGACUGCACGGCUAGAGUGUGUCAGAGGGGGGUAGAAUUCCACGUGUAGCAGUGAAAUGCGUAGAGAUGUGGAGGAAUACCGAUGGCGAAGGCAGCCCCCUGGGAUAACACUGACGCUCAUGCACGAAAGCGUGGGGAGCAAACAGGAUUAGAUACCCUGGUAGUCCACGCCCUAAACGAUGUCAACUAGUUGUUGGGGAUUCAUUUCCUUAGUAACGUAGCUAACGCGUGAAGUUGACCGCC
This 808-nucleotide ribosomal RNA is filed under the name uncultured beta proteobacterium. Its description in RNAcentral is "bacterial SSU rRNA". It matches the Rfam family "Bacterial small subunit ribosomal RNA", at positions 71 to 873 of the family's 1533-position model. Lineage: Bacteria; Pseudomonadati; Pseudomonadota; Betaproteobacteria. The record is from RNAcentral.